This 113-nucleotide ribosomal RNA is filed under the name Ipomoea nil (Japanese morning glory). The record is from RNAcentral. Lineage: Eukaryota; Viridiplantae; Streptophyta; Magnoliopsida; Solanales; Convolvulaceae.
GAUCAUACCAGCACUAAUGCACCGGAUCCCAUCAGAACUCCGAAGUUAAGCGUGCUUGGGCGAGAGUAGUACUAGGAUGGGUGACCCCCUGGGAAGUCCUCGUGUUGCAUCCC